GUGGGGAAUAUUGGACAAUGGGGGGAACCCUGAUCCAGCCAUGCCGCGUGUGUGAAGAAGGCCUUUUGGUUGUAAAGCACUUUAAGCGAGGAGGAGGCUACCGAGAUUAAUACUCUUGGAUAGUGGACGUUACUCGCAGAAUAAGCACCGGCUAACUCUGUGCCAGCAGCCGCGGUAAUACAGAGGGUGCAAGCGUUAAUCGGAUUUACUGGGCGUAAAGCGCGCGUAGGUGGCCAAUUAAGUCAAAUGUGAAAUCCCCGAGCUUAACUUGGGAAUUGCAUUCGAUACUGGUUGGCUAGAGUAUGGGAGAAGAUGGUAGAAUUCCAGGUGUAGCGGUGAAAUGCGUAGAGAUCUGGAGGAAUACCGAUGGCGAAGGCAGCCAUCUGGCCUAAUACUGACACUGAGGUGCGAAAGCAUGGGGAGCAAACAGGAUUAGAUACCCGUGUAGUCC
RNAcentral lists this ribosomal RNA (451 nucleotides) under uncultured bacterium. Its description in RNAcentral is "partial 16S ribosomal RNA". It matches the Rfam family "Bacterial small subunit ribosomal RNA", at positions 354 to 796 of the family's 1533-position model. The record is from RNAcentral.